RNAcentral lists this ribosomal RNA (585 nucleotides) under Naganishia uzbekistanensis. RNAcentral's name for it is "partial large subunit ribosomal RNA". It matches the Rfam family "Eukaryotic large subunit ribosomal RNA", at positions 75 to 648 of the family's 3401-position model. The record is from RNAcentral. Lineage: Eukaryota; Fungi; Basidiomycota; Tremellomycetes; Filobasidiales; Filobasidiaceae.
UUUCCCUAGUAACGGCGAGUGAAGCGGGAAGAGCUCAAAUUUGAAAUCUGGUAGCCUUCGGUUGCCCGAGUUGUAAUCUAGAGAAGUGUUUUCCGUGCCGGCCCAUGUACAAGUCCCUUGGAACAGGGCGUCAUAGAGGGUGAGAAUCCCGUCCUUGACAUGGACCCCCGGUGCUUUGUGAUACACUUUCAACGAGUCGAGUUGUUUGGGAAUGCAGCUCAAAAUGGGUGGUGAAUUCCAUCUAAAGCUAAAUAUUGGCGAGAGACCGAUAGCGAACAAGUACCGUGAGGGAAAGAUGAAAAGCACUUUGGAAAGAGAGUUAAACAGUACGUGAAAUUGUUGAAAGGGAAACGAUUGAAGUCAGUCAUGCUCUUAGGAUUCAGCCGUUCUGCGGUGUAUUUCCUUUGAGUGGGGUCAACAUCAGUUUUGAUCGAUGGAUAAAGGCACGAGGAAGGUAGCACUCUCGGGUGAACUUAUAGCCUCGCGUCAUAUACAUUGAUUGGGACUGAGGAACGCAGCAUGCCUUUAUGGCCGGGAUUCGUCCACGUACAUGCUUAGGAUGUUGACAUAAUGGCUUUAAACGAC